AAUCAAAGUAAUCACACCUUGUUUUAAGGAAGCCGGAAACUCCCCAUUUUCUAUUGAUUCGUGAAACAUAGCAAGAAUGAAAGGAAUCAAUUUAUCAUUGAAUGCUUUAUAAAACUCGCUUAUUAAACCAUCAUUUCCAGGGGACCUAUUGUCCUUAAUGCUUUUAAUACAGUCUUUUAUCUCAAUUUCAGGUAACUCAUCAUCACAAAAAUCCCUGAAAUCAUUAUCUAUCUUAGCAAUGUUUGCAACACGUCAUGCUCUUAUCAACUGAGCUACGAAGGAGCACGUCGACGUCGCUAGAAUGAUGACAAGCAAUGUUAAGGGAUUCUAAAGGGAAUCAGAAUUCCAAACUAAUUUCUAUGGCAACACAGUUGUCAAUUUUGUAAACAAUCAUUUUCGAACGUGUGUUGCCAAGAGACAUCUAACCGACGUUCUAUGGAACGUUUUCUGUGCGAAAACAACUUUGCUGCUGACAACAAACUUGUUUGAUUUUUGAGACCUGAGAACAAUCGACUGGAAAAUGCCUGGGUGCUUUUCAAGACUGGCGGAGAGAGUGCGUGGACGUCGGCGGCCUACUGCGUGGACGUCGGCGGCCUACUGCGUCGACAGGUUGUUCAAAUUCAUUUGUGGCUUGUUUUUCUUGUCUUUUUCUGUUUUGCAGGGUUCGUGAUCGUCGACAGGUGGACAGCGACUUCGAAGAGGAAACAACUGUCCUGGAUGAGGUCCAGUUGGAUGUGCCAUUGGAUGAUGUGCUAGAUGUUCCACAGCUGCCAGUCCUCCUUGAUGUCCAGAAUGCUGCUAUCAUCCUUGAGGAUGUGCCAGAUGUGCAGACUAUCCUUGAGGAGGCCACUGGCAUUUGGCAGUUGAUUCCGAUUAGGUUCAGCCCCCAGUACUGUGGGCCUGUUGUGAUCAGGAACAAUGCCGGUCCGGUGGUUAAAGCUUGGAGAACUUUCCAGUUCAUCAGCCCCAUCAUCACCUACAUGCGUGGGUAAUCCCAGCAGGUGGUGGUGAGGAUGAACCACGUGAGUAGGGUGAGAGGCCUGGAGACUCAACUGGUGUGGGCCAUCUCCAAGGAGACAGCCAGGCUUAGUCCAGAGGGCAUCCCCUACUGUGCCACCAAAGUGCAGUCCAUCACUUGGAUCCAGCGUGUGGCUGGCAGGGUGACCCACUAUGCGUCUCACCUCCGCCACGAGACGUCUGUGGACAUGACGCUUGGCUGCAACCAGCAGACUGAUGUCUCAGUGGUGUACGCCACUCUCCACAUGGGGCUGGACGG
Oncorhynchus kisutch (coho salmon) is the source of this 1276-nucleotide long non-coding RNA. RefSeq lists it as uncharacterized. The record is from RefSeq and is a predicted model, not a curated record. The transcript has 7 exons. Lineage: Eukaryota; Metazoa; Chordata; Actinopteri; Salmoniformes; Salmonidae.